RNAcentral lists this ribosomal RNA (434 nucleotides) under Mimophis mahfalensis. RNAcentral describes it as "partial 16S ribosomal RNA". It matches the Rfam family "Bacterial large subunit ribosomal RNA", at positions 1956 to 2612 of the family's 2925-position model. The record is from RNAcentral. Lineage: Eukaryota; Metazoa; Chordata; Lepidosauria; Squamata.
GCAUAAUCAUUGUCUAUUAAUUGUAGACCUGUAUGAAAGGCAAAAUGAGGGCCUAACUGUCUCUUAUAAUCAAUCAAUUAAACUGAUCUCCCAGUACAAAAGCUGGGAUACACACAUAAGACCAGAAGACCCUGUGAAGCUUAAACUAAACCAUCAAACCACAUGAUGAUUAAUUUCGGUUGGGGCGACCUUGGAAAAAAAAAGAACUUCCAAACAAAACACCAAACAUAAAAUCAGGCCUACCAGCCAAAAACGACCCAGCAUUGCUGAUUAAUGAAACAAGUUACUCCAGGGAUAACAGCGCUAUCUUCUUCAAGAGCCCAUAUCAAAAAGAAGGUUUACGACCUCGAUGUUGGAUCAGGACAUCCUAAUGGUGCAGCAGCUAUUAAGGGUUCGUUUGUUCAACGAUUAACAGUCCCACGUGAUCUGAGUUC